UCCAAACUGCAACACAUGAAAACUUCCUUCAGCUCUCCCUGAAGCAAUAAGCUAGCCGGCAGUACAGUCUUUGAAAACACCUGGAGUCUAUUCCAUCUUCAUCAGGCUCCUGUAAACACACUUACGUGGAAGACUAAAUAAGUUAUCUCAGACAAUAUUAUUUACCAAUUUCAAAUUAAUAAAGCCAAAAAAAUAGAUUAUCUAAAUAA
Non-coding RNA from Macaca mulatta (Rhesus monkey), 209 nucleotides. Lineage: Eukaryota; Metazoa; Chordata; Mammalia; Primates; Cercopithecidae. The record is from RefSeq and is a predicted model, not a curated record.